CUACGGGUGGCAGCAGUGGGGAAUAUUGGACAAUGGGCGAAAGCCUGAUCCAGCCAUGCCGCGUGUGUGAAGAAGGCCUUCGGGUUGUAAAGCACUUUCAGUGGGGAAGAAAGCCUUGGGGCUAAUACCCUCGAGGAAGGACAUCACCCACAGAAGAAGCACCGGCUAACUCCGUGCCAGCAGCCGCGGUAAUACGGAGGGUGCGAGCGUUAAUCGGAAUUACUGGGCGUAAAGCGCGCGUAGGCGGUCUGAUAAGCCGGUUGUGAAAGCCCCGGGCUCAACCUGGGAACGGCAUCCGGAACUGUCAGGCUAGAGUGCAGGAGAGGAAGGUAGAAUUCCCGGUGUAGCGGUGAAAUGCGUAGAGAUCGGGAGGAAUACCAGUGGCGAAGGCGGCCUUCUGGACUGACACUGACGCUGAGGUGCGAAAGCGUGGGUAGCAAACAGGAUUAGAUACCCCGUAGUC
Molecule: ribosomal RNA, 463 nt
Filed under: Vreelandella stevensii
Lineage: Bacteria; Pseudomonadati; Pseudomonadota; Gammaproteobacteria; Oceanospirillales; Halomonadaceae
Description: partial 16S ribosomal RNA
Rfam family: Bacterial small subunit ribosomal RNA
Source: RNAcentral